Molecule: transfer RNA, 55 nt
Filed under: Otopharynx heterodon (royal blue hap)
Lineage: Eukaryota; Metazoa; Chordata; Actinopteri; Cichliformes; Cichlidae
Description: partial tRNA-Pro
Source: RNAcentral
CAAACAAUAGUCUAAAUUAGGAUCCUAGCUUUGGGAGUUAGGGGUGGGGGUUAAA